GACGAACGCUGGCGGCGUGCUUAACACAUGCAAGUCGAACGGAAAGGCCCUGCUUUUGUGGGGUGCUCGAGUGGCGAACGGGUGAGUAACACGUGAGUAACCUGCCCUUGACUUUGGGAUAACUUCAGGAAACUGGGGCUAAUACCGGCUAGGAGCUCCUGCUGCAUGGUGGGGGUUGGAAAGUUUCGGCGGUUGGGGAUGGACUCGCGGCUUAUCAGCUUGUUGGUGGGGUAGUGGCUUACCAAGGCUUUGCCGGGUAGCCGGGCUGAGAGGGUGACCGGCCACAUUGGGCCUGAGAUACGACACAGACUCGUACGGGAGGCAGGAGUGGGGAAGAGUGCACAAUGGGCGGAAGCCUGAUGCAGCAACGCCGCGUGCGGGAUGACGGCCUUCGGGUUGUAAACCGCUUUCGCCUGUGACGAAGCGUGAGUGACGGUAAUGGGUAAAGAAGCACCGGCUAACUACGUG
This 468-nucleotide ribosomal RNA is filed under the name uncultured bacterium. RNAcentral's name for it is "partial 16S ribosomal RNA". It matches the Rfam family "Bacterial small subunit ribosomal RNA", at positions 28 to 507 of the family's 1533-position model. The record is from RNAcentral.